GCGGAUAUGGCGGAACUGGCAGACGCGCACGGUUCAGGUCCGUGUGAGGAAACUCAUGGAGGUUCGAGUCCUCUUAUCCGCACCA
Molecule: transfer RNA, 85 nt
Filed under: Eubacteriales Family XIII. Incertae Sedis bacterium
Lineage: Bacteria; Bacillati; Bacillota; Clostridia; Peptostreptococcales; Anaerovoracaceae
Description: tRNA-Leu
Rfam family: tRNA
About the family: Transfer RNA (tRNA) molecules are approximately 80 nucleotides in length. Their secondary structure includes four short double-helical elements and three loops (D, anti-codon, and T loops).
Source: RNAcentral